GUAAAUAUAGUUUAACACAAAACAUUAGAUUGUGAUUCUAAAAAUAAGGGUUAAAUUCCCUUUAUUCACC
Molecule: transfer RNA, 70 nt
Filed under: Noturus leptacanthus (speckled madtom)
Lineage: Eukaryota; Metazoa; Chordata; Actinopteri; Siluriformes; Ictaluridae
Description: tRNA-His
Rfam family: tRNA
About the family: Transfer RNA (tRNA) molecules are approximately 80 nucleotides in length. Their secondary structure includes four short double-helical elements and three loops (D, anti-codon, and T loops).
Source: RNAcentral